Molecule: ribosomal RNA, 253 nt
Filed under: uncultured bacterium
Lineage: Bacteria
Description: partial 16S ribosomal RNA
Rfam family: Bacterial small subunit ribosomal RNA
Source: RNAcentral
UACAGAGGUCUCAAGCGUUGUUCGGAUUCAUUGGGCGUAAAGGGUGCGUAGGCGGCGCGGUAAGUCGGGUGUGAAAUCUCGGAGCUUAACUCCGAAACUGCAUUCGAUACUGCCGUGCUUGAGGACUGGAGAGGAGACUGGAAUUUACGGUGUAGCGGUGAAAUGCGUAGAUAUCGUAAGGAAGACCAGUGGCGAAGGCGGGUCUCUGGACAGUUCCUGACGCUGAGGCACGAAGGUCAGGGGAGCAAACAGG